AACGCUUGGAAACGAGUGCUACUCACCGGAUGGUCUUCUUGGCCGCAUGGCCGAGAAGGAAAAGACGCGUUCGCGUCGGUGUCGGAUGAGCCCGCGGCGCAUUAGCUAGUUGGUGAGGUAACGGCCCACCAAGGCGACGAUGCGUAGCCGACCUGAGAGGGUGACCGGCCACACUGGGACUGAGACACGGCCCAGACUCCUACGGGAGGCAGCAGUAGGGAAUCUUCCACAAUGGGCGAAAGCCUGAUGGAGCAACGCCGCGUGAGUGAUGAAGGCCUUCGGGUUGUAAAACUCUGUCAUUCGGGACGAACCGGAGUCUGAGGAAAUGCAGACUCUCUGACGGUACCGGAGGAGGAAGCCCCGGCUAACUACGUGCCAGCAGCCGCGGUAAUACGUAGGGGGCAAGCGUUGUCCGGAUUCACUGGGCGUAAAGCGCGCGCAGGCGGUGAUGUAAGUCUGAGGUGAAAACCCGAAGCUCAACUUCGGGACUGCCUUGGAUACUGCGUCACUUGAGGAUAGGAGAGGCAAGGGGAAUUCCACGUGUAGCGGUGAAAUGCGUAGAGAUGUGGAGGAACACCUGUGGCGAAGGCGCCUUGCUGGCCUAUUUCUGACGCUGAGGCGCGAAAGCGUGGGGAGCAAACAGGAUUAG
Molecule: ribosomal RNA, 649 nt
Filed under: uncultured bacterium
Lineage: Bacteria
Description: bacterial SSU rRNA
Rfam family: Bacterial small subunit ribosomal RNA
Source: RNAcentral